UCAAAAUGGUAUACAGUUUACUCCGACAUCUGCAAGUGCGAAAAUGUUGAGAAACAACUUGAUAUUGGCGUUCACUGUUAGUUUGGUGAUUUUCACCUUGGUAGCAGAGAACGAAGUACAAGCUGCACCGGAGCCAUGCAAAGACCUGUUAGACAUAAUGUGGAAACCAGAGAAAUUGAAGAAACCGAAAGAAGAAAAAAACGACAAUGGUAAAGAUAAACAUAAGAAAGAAAAAUUAAAACAAAUUAAAAAAU
Molecule: long non-coding RNA, 254 nt
Organism: Vanessa tameamea
Lineage: Eukaryota; Metazoa; Arthropoda; Insecta; Lepidoptera; Nymphalidae
Exons: 3
Source: RefSeq, a predicted model, not a curated record